CCUACGGGAGGCAGCAGUGGGGAAUAUUGGACAAUGGGCGAAAGCCUGAUCCAGCAAUGCCGCGUGUGUGAAGAAGGCCUUCGGGUUGUAAAGCACUUUAAGUUGGGAAGAAAAAGCUCUGGCUAAUAUCUAGAGCCUUGACGGUACCAACAGAAUAAGCACCGGCUAACUCUGUGCCAGCAGCCGCGGUAAUACAGAGGGUGCUAGCGUUAAUCGGAUUUACUGGGCGUAAAGCGUGCGUAGGCGGUUUGAUAAGUCGAUUGUGAAAGCCCCGGGCUUAACCUGGGAAUUGCAGUUGAUACUGUCAGACUAGAAAACGGUAGAGGGAGGCGGAACUCCAGGUGUAGCGGUGAAAUGCGUAGAUAUCUGGAAGAACACCGAUGGCGAAGGCAACCUCCUGGGCCUGUUUUGACGCUGAGGCACGAAAGCGUGGGUAGCAAACAGGAUUAGAUACCCUGGUAGUCCACGCCGUAAACGAUGAGAACUUGACGUUGGUUUGCUUAGCAAAUCGGUGUCGUAGCUAACGCGAUAAGUUCUCCGCCUGGGGAGUACGGCCGCAAGGUUGAAACUCAAAGAGUAGUACGCGNGNGAGAGCGACGACGACGACGACGGAGGAGG
RNAcentral lists this ribosomal RNA (618 nucleotides) under uncultured bacterium. RNAcentral describes it as "bacterial SSU rRNA". It matches the Rfam family "Bacterial small subunit ribosomal RNA", at positions 338 to 944 of the family's 1533-position model. The record is from RNAcentral.